Molecule: ribosomal RNA, 360 nt
Filed under: Triticum aestivum (bread wheat)
Lineage: Eukaryota; Viridiplantae; Streptophyta; Magnoliopsida; Poales; Poaceae
Description: partial small subunit ribosomal RNA
Source: RNAcentral
AUGCACCAACUCCGUGUCGGCUUGUCGUCUCCCACUCUGUCUGGCACGACAUCUUUCAUUGGUGUCGCCUCACCGUCCAGCCUCCUGACGGUACGAUUGGUCUUAUCGACUGGUGGUCCUACACUCUUUGACUUCCCCGACAAGCCAUCGCAAGGGACUUGGAUCUCUGCUCUCACUGCUUGGGCAAUCUGGGAGCGCCAAAACGCCUGCAUCUUUGAUGGUGUGACCCCCUCUCAUACCCACAUGUUGCACAUUAUACAGGAGGAAGCUCGCACCUGGGCCAAAGCAGGUGCUAGAGGGCUUAGCAGCAUCGUCCCUGUAACCCGAUCCCUCUCGGGGCUAACCAUUCCCUUCUCUUGA